AUACGGAGGGUCCAAGCGUUAAUCGGAAUUACUGGGCGUAAAGUGUACGUAGGUGGCUUGAUUAGUCGGAUGUGAAAGCCCUGGGCUCAACCUGGGAACUGCAUUCGAUACUGUCAGGCUAGAGUAUAGUAGAGGGAAGUGGAAUUCCGGGUGUAGCGGUGAAAUGCGUAGAUAUCCGGAGGAACACCAGUGGCGAAGGCGGCUUCCUGGACUAAUACUGACGCUGAGGCACGAAAGCUAGGGGAGCGAACGGGAUUAGAAACCCCGGUAGUCC
Molecule: ribosomal RNA, 274 nt
Filed under: uncultured bacterium
Lineage: Bacteria
Description: partial 16S ribosomal RNA
Rfam family: Bacterial small subunit ribosomal RNA
Source: RNAcentral